AGGACGAACGCUGGCGGCGUGCUUAACACAUGCAAGUCGAGCGGAAAGGCCCUUCGGGGUACUCGAGCGGCGAACGGGUGAGUAACACGUGAGUAACCUGCCCUGGACUUUGGGAUAACCCUCGGAAACGGGGGCUAAUACCGGAUACGACUUCUGACCGCAUGGUUGGUGGUGGAAAGUUUUUCGGUCUGGGAUGGGCUCGCGGCCUAUCAGCUUGUUGGUGGGGUGAUGGCCUACCAAGGCGACGACGGGUAG
This 255-nucleotide ribosomal RNA is filed under the name uncultured bacterium. RNAcentral describes it as "partial small subunit ribosomal RNA". It matches the Rfam family "Bacterial small subunit ribosomal RNA", at positions 26 to 286 of the family's 1533-position model. The record is from RNAcentral.